RNAcentral lists this transfer RNA (94 nucleotides) under Bacillota bacterium. RNAcentral describes it as "Firmicutes bacterium (anaerobic digester metagenome) tRNA-Ser". It matches the Rfam family "tRNA". Rfam says of the family: Transfer RNA (tRNA) molecules are approximately 80 nucleotides in length. The record is from RNAcentral. RNAcentral also lists the same sequence under 1 other name. Lineage: Bacteria; Bacillati; Bacillota.
GGAGAGAUGGCUGAGCUGGUCGAAGGCGCUCGACUCGAAAUCGAGUAGGGGGUGAUGAGCCUCCUCGUGGGUUCGAAUCCCACUCUCUCCGCCA